CAGGCUGAAAAUGUGAUACUUUGGCAGGCCCCAUCACAGGCUAGAAAUGUGGAACUAUAAUGUGCAGGCCCCGCCACAGGCUAAAAAUGUGAUAAUUUGGUUGCCCCACCACAGGCUGAGAAAUGUGACCGAGAUUUGACCCAAAGUCGGAAAGAUAAUUAAUCCGGAUCAAGUUGAAGAAAAGACAUUGAAACUAUAAUACA
Molecule: long non-coding RNA, 203 nt
Filed under: Phoenix dactylifera (date palm)
Lineage: Eukaryota; Viridiplantae; Streptophyta; Magnoliopsida; Arecales; Arecaceae
Description: long non-coding RNA (PDAC_LNC014413)
Source: RNAcentral